GACAGUUUGUAACUCUACCUCUACUUAUAAAAUAACACAUUGAUGAGAGAGAAAUUAUAAGUGAGGUUAUUCUAUUUGUAUUUGGACAAAUACAAAUACAAACCAUUAAUUAAUACAUAUUGAGAGUAGUGAGAAGAUUGGUGUUAUAAGCACCCCCUCAAUCAACCGUAUAAAAUCCAUCACUUGUGCAAUUAGGAAAAUGACACUCAUAUAACAUUAAGCACAACGUGUGGCACCGAAUAGUGCGUUUUGAGUUGAAUAUAAGUUCAACUCAAAACCAGUUCCUCACACAAGUCUCACAUUGCUCACGCGCAAAACACAACCCUCUCCAUGACCCUUUCCAUCGGCCCACGCACAAAACCAAUUCCUCACACAAGUCUCACGUCGCUCGCACACAAAACACAACCCUCUCUGUCGGCUCACGCACUAAACCAGUUCGGAUCCUCUGCACUCUUAUGCCUGUUGCAACUCAUAUUUUCUUGCAUAAUCAUCCCAGAAUCAGCAAUUCAUGAAGUGUAUAUAUAUAAAAGGUCUCACAAAUAUCAAACAACAAAACAACAUUUUUCAAUUUCCAAUCGCAAGUUUUAACAGAUACUGUCAACAAAAAUUAACACAAAACAAGCUAAAUAUUCACAAAUUCAUAAUCACCACAACCAAAUUUUGAAUAAAUCAAGCAAAUUACCUCAACAAAUUGAUUACAGCAGCUGACGACGAAUGAAAUGAAGGUAAGAAAGUGAAGGCGAGGCGAGAUAGUAAGACACUGUGAGGGAGAGUCGAUGGUCAGAGGCACCGUUGUGGUGUGUGAGAAUUUGCUAGUCAGAUUUGGCUUAAGUGAGCUGUGGAUUUAAUGGGAAUCAUGGGGAGAAUGCAACAACAUCUACCUUGUGUUCAACAAUAGCAUUUUAUAUUAUGCUCAAAACGCAUCGUUCGGUGCUUAAUGUUGUGCUAUAUGUUGUGAGAAUAUCGGAACCGGUGCAAUUAUAGUAAAACAUAAAAUUAUCUAACUAAACCCAUCGUUCCCUUUCUCUCUCUCAAAAGUCUACUCUUUCGUUCGUAAUCUCAAUAUCAAAUUGAUGAAUACAAUGAUUACUGAAUUUGGAUCUAACAAUAAAAUUUUUGAAGAUAAUUACUCCAUAAGGUAACGCAAAAG
RNAcentral lists this long non-coding RNA (1150 nucleotides) under Citrus maxima (pomelo). Its description in RNAcentral is "long non-coding RNA (CMAX_LNC002649)". The record is from RNAcentral. Lineage: Eukaryota; Viridiplantae; Streptophyta; Magnoliopsida; Sapindales; Rutaceae.